AUCCUGGGGAUAUCAAGGGGCGUUCCAGUUAUUUUUGCUUUCGGUGUUUCCCAAGUAGACGUUUUCUUUAGACACAUAAUUGAUUUAACCGCUCAGCCCCUCCCCUCAUCUCUUAUUCAGCCUCAAAUCCCCCUGCGGAAUUCACUGAGCCUUUCUUUCGCCAAAGAGAUGUAAUUUGCUUCCUUUGUGGAUUCACAGGCUUAACCCCGCUGUUUCAAAGGAGGUUUUGAGAUUCGAGCUCCAUCAACCUAUUAUGUAACACUUUAAUUUGCACAAUAAAAUAAAGGAUAGAAACUUCGGUUACCG
Molecule: long non-coding RNA, 306 nt
Organism: Bos taurus (domestic cattle)
Lineage: Eukaryota; Metazoa; Chordata; Mammalia; Artiodactyla; Bovidae
Source: Ensembl